GAUGAACGCUGGCGGUAUGCUUAACACAUGCAAGUCGAACGGAAUCUUUCGGGAUUUAGUGGCGGACGGGUGAGUAACGCGUGAGAAUCUGGCUUCAGGUCUGGGACAACCACUGGAAACGGUGGCUAAUACCGGAUGUGCCGAGAGGUGAAAGGUUAACUGCCUGAAGAUGAGCUCGCGUCUGAUUAGCUAGUUGGAAGUGUAAUGGACUCCCAAGGCGACGAUCAGUAGCUGGUCUGAGAGGACGAUCAGCCACACUGGGACUGAGACACGGCCCAGACUCCUACGGGAGGCAGCAGUGGGGAAUUUUCCGCAAUGGGCGAAAGCCUGACGGAGCAAUACCGCGUGAGGGAGGAAGGCUCUUGGGUCGUAAACCUCUUUUCUCAAGGAAGAACACAAUGACGGUACUUGAGGAAUAAGCAUCGGCUAACUCCGUGCCAGCAGCCGCGGUAAUACGGAGGAUGCAAGCGUUAUCCGGAAUGAUUGGGCGUAAAGCGUCCGCAGGUGGCAAUGUAAGUCUGCUGUUAAAGAGUCUAGCUCAACUAGAUAAGAGCAGUGGAAACUACAUAGCUAGAGUACGUUCGGGGCAGAGGGAAUUCCUGGUGUAGCGGUGAAAUGCGUAGAGAUCAGGAAGAACACCGGUGGCGAAGGCGCUCUGCUAGGCCGUAACUGACACUGAGGGACGAAAGCUAGGGGAGCGAAUGGGAUUAGAUACCCCAGUAGUCCUAGCCGUAAACGAUGGAUACUAGGCGUGGCUUGUAUCGACCCGAGCCGUGCCGUAGCUAACGCGUUAAGUAUCCCGCCUGGGGAGUACGCCGGCAACGGUGAAACUCAAAGGAAUUGACGGGGGCCCGCACAAGCGGUGGAGUAUGUGGUUUAAUUCGAUGCAACGCGAAGAACCUUACCAAGGCUUGACAUGUCGCGAAUCUUUCUGAAAGGAGAGAGUGCCUUCGGGAGCGCGAACACAGGUGGUGCAUGGCUGUCGUCAGCUCGUGUCGUGAGAUGUUGGGUUAAGUCCCGCAACGAGCGCAACCCUCGUUUUUAGUUGCCGGCAUUAAGUUGGGCACUCUAGAGAGACUGCCGGUGACAAACCGGAGGAAGGUGGGGAUGACGUCAAGUCAGCAUGCCCCUUACGCCUUGGGCUACACACGUACUACAAUGCUCCGGACAGAGGGCAGCAAGCAUGCGAAUGCAAGCAAAUCCCGGAAACCGGAGCUCAGUUCAGAUCGCAGGCUGCAACUCGCCUGCGUGAAGGAGGAAUCGCUAGUAAUUGCAGGUCAGCAUACUGCAGUGAAUUCGUUCCCGGGCCUUGUACACACCGCCCGUCACACCAUGGAAGCUGGUAGUGCCCGAAGUCAUUACUCCAACCUUUCGGGGAGGAGGAUGCCUAAGGCAGGACUGGUGACUGGGGUGAA
This 1415-nucleotide ribosomal RNA is filed under the name Nostoc sp. N107.3. Its description in RNAcentral is "bacterial SSU rRNA". It matches the Rfam family "Bacterial small subunit ribosomal RNA". The record is from RNAcentral. Lineage: Bacteria; Bacillati; Cyanobacteriota; Cyanophyceae; Nostocales; Nostocaceae.